AACAGAAGUCAUUUGGAGGUACAGAAUAGACUCUCUUACCUCCACUUUUAAAAAACUAACUCAGAUCAUAUUUUUCACACAAUUUAUAGUCAUAGUACUAGAGUAUAUUAAAUUCUUCAAGUCAAUAUGCGAUACACAUGCUGCUGUGAAGAGAAUGAGUUUUCUGCACGUGUUUGAUAGUGUCACAUUUCAGAGCAAAUAUUAAACUAAGUUGGUCUGCAAUUUCCACAUACUUACCUACAAAUACAAGUAAUGGAUCCCAGGCGUAAUUGCAGUGAACUAAUAACUGUUUACUUACUGAACUUGGAGUGAAACCUUCUGACAGUGCUGCUGAAACACUGCCUGCUUUGGUUUGAAAUUCACCUGGGUUUAGUGAGGCCAUGUGAGGACACAGUGAGAAGAUGGGCAUCUGCAAGCCAGGAAGAGAGGCCUCACCAGAAACAGAGUAUGCUGGCACCGGAAUCUUGGACUUGCCAGUCUCCAAAACAAUGAAAAAUAAAUUUCUGUUGCUUAAGCCAUCCAGUCUGUGGUACUUUGUUAUACUGUCCUGAGCAGACUAAGACAUGUGAUUUGUAUUGUUAGUAUUUUAGGGGCACACUGGAUAAUGCCAGAGAAUGUGGGGUUUAGAAAUAACUUGGAUGUAUAUCCUGGCUUUGCCAGUUGGUAAGUUUGUGACCGUGGGCAAGUAAUGUAACAUUGCCUUUAUCUAAAUGUUCUCAUCUUUAAAAUAAAUUAAAAGUA
Long non-coding RNA from Rhinopithecus roxellana (golden snub-nosed monkey), 741 nucleotides. RefSeq lists it as uncharacterized. The transcript is spliced from 4 exons. The record is from RefSeq and is a predicted model, not a curated record. NCBI's taxonomy places the organism in Eukaryota, Metazoa, Chordata, Mammalia, Primates, Cercopithecidae.